UACCGCGAAGAACCUUACCAGGUCUUGACAUCCUCUGACAAUCCUAGAGAUAGGACUUCCCCUUCGGGGGCAGAGUGACAGGUGGUGCAUGGUUGUCGUCAGCUCGUGUCGUGAGAUGUUGGGUUAAGGCCCGCAACGAGCGCAACCCUUGAUCUUAGUUGCCAGCAUUCAGUUGGGCACUCUAAGGUGACUGCCGGUGACAAACCGGAGGAAGGUGGGGAUGACGUCAAAUCAUCAUGCCCCUUAUGACCUGGGCUACACACGUGCUACAAUGGACAGAACAAAGGGCAGCGAAACCGCGAGGUUAAGCCAAUCCCACAAAUCUGUUCUCAGUUCGGAUCGCAGUCCUGCAACUCGACUGCCGUGAAGCUGGAAUCGCUAGUAAUCGCGGAUCAGCUGUCGGCGAUC
Molecule: ribosomal RNA, 408 nt
Filed under: Bacillus subtilis
Lineage: Bacteria; Bacillati; Bacillota; Bacilli; Caryophanales; Bacillaceae
Description: bacterial SSU rRNA
Rfam family: Bacterial small subunit ribosomal RNA
Source: RNAcentral